This 1090-nucleotide long non-coding RNA is filed under the name Struthio camelus australis. RNAcentral describes it as "lncRNA (ENSSCUG00000008544.1)". The record is from RNAcentral. Lineage: Eukaryota; Metazoa; Chordata; Aves; Struthioniformes; Struthionidae.
AACCUUGUUUUAGAUUUCUGUCAAUGCAAUGUCUACUGCUAUAAUCAACCCCCCCACUUAGGAGCUGGAAAAACUGCUCCUAGCUGUCGCUGAAAGUGAUCCCAUACAAACAUCUCAGUCAUAUCGCAGCCUCGGGACUCGCUGCUGCCGAUGGACCACGUAAGGACAACGUCUAAAAUACAGAGAGAGUUGAGCACGAAAGGGCGGUAAGAGUCCGGUCGAAUGGCACCAGGGAACUAUAUCUUCCCUUUUUUCAGUGCUGUGCUGGUCUUCCGCACUUCUCUCCUUUCGCUUGCACACUCGUUCGGCUUUCGUGGAGCAUCCAGGAUUUUUUUUCUUCCCUCUCGAAGUAACCAACAACUAGGCUCACCUGCCUCAAGCUUCAACAAUUAUGUUUAAGUGCAGCAAGCACCCGACUUCCCUGGCUGAGCGGGGAUGUGCUGGUGGCGCCCGCCCUGGACCAGAGUGACUGCGAGGAUGGGGGCUACUCCACGGAAGUCGGGGAAGCUUUACAAGGCAGCCAGUCCAAUGUGGAGCAUGUGACUGGAGUGAAAAAACAAAGGGAAGGAUCUAUCUUCUUCAUAGAAUCACAGAAUCUCAGAGUGGUUGAGGUUGGAAGGGACCUCUGGAGGUCGUCUAGUCCAACCGACCUGCUCAAGCAGGGUCGUCUAGAACACGUUGCAGAGGAUCCCGUCCAGAUGGCUUCUGAAUAUCUCCAGGGAAGAAGACUCCACAACUUCUCUGGGCAACCUGUGCCAGUGCUCAGUCACUUUCAUAGUUAAGAAGUUCUUGGAAGUUCUUAAAGAAGUUCUUGAAAGAGGCUUGGGAUUUGGAGACAUUUUUCAGAAGAAGGUUGUCCAUUUGCUGAGAGCUUCUUCUUUAGAAGCCUUUAGGCUUUAGUUUAUAGGAAACUGAGUUUUCCAAGUUUGAGCCUUCCAAGGGAGCAAUUUAGAUGCAAUUUCUAAUCAGAUUCCUUUUGUGUCAGAACCUUGUAUCAGUUAAACAAGAAGCCUUAUUUUGUGAAACUGUGAUCUGAAAUACUCCAUUUUUCAUUUUAUCAAAAAAUAAAGUUUUUCGUUUCUCACUUACA